UACAGGGGGGGCAAGCGUUGUUCGGAAUUACUGGGCGUAAAGGGCUCGUAGGCGGCCAACUAAGUCCGACGUGAAAUCCCCAGGCUUAACCUGGGAACUGCGUCGGAUACUGGAUGGCUUGAAUUCGGGAGAGGGAUGCAGAAUUCCAGGUGUAGCGGUGAAAUGCGUAGAUAUCUGGAGGAAUACCGGUGGCGAAGGCGGCAUCCUGGACCGACAUUGACGCUGAUGAGCGAAAAGCUAGGGGAGCAAACGGG
Molecule: ribosomal RNA, 254 nt
Filed under: uncultured bacterium
Lineage: Bacteria
Description: partial 16S ribosomal RNA
Rfam family: Bacterial small subunit ribosomal RNA
Source: RNAcentral